Homo sapiens (human) is the source of this 683-nucleotide long non-coding RNA. Ensembl annotates it as MMP25 antisense RNA 1. Its record names the gene MMP25-AS1. The record is from Ensembl. NCBI's taxonomy places the organism in Eukaryota, Metazoa, Chordata, Mammalia, Primates, Hominidae.
GCGUGCGCCCCUGAAGGCGGGUUCCGGUGGCAGCGCCGGGGUCUCAGACCCUGAGGAGACUGAGCCCAGCGCCAGGCGACCGGUCCCCGCCGCCGCCGCCCCUGCGCGGGAGAUCCCCCCUGCUUAGUCCGCGCCCGAGCCCCCGUCCGUGGGAACAGACAAGGGGCCUCCGCAGCGCCUCACAACCCCCGACCAGGUCCAGCGGCGGGGGACUCGGCCGUGGAGGGCGCUGUUCGGUCUGGAUGGCUCCCCCCAUCAGCGGGAGGCUACACCCCCCACCAGCAGGGGCAAGAGGAGCAGCGGGAUGGGAGCAGGCCAACGUCCUGCGGCCUGGUUGAGCUCGCACUGACAAUCGCAGGCCCAGUAACCCGCAGGUCACCGCGCUCCCCACCUGCGUUGCUGACGGUGACAUCGUCAGGGGAGGGGGGCGCGCCUUCCCAGAGGCUCAGGUCGCGAGGGUAGCCGGGGUCCGGGCGCGCCGCCGCCUCGUCGUAGCGCCAGUACUGCCGGCCGCGGACCAGCGCUAAAAGUGCCAGGGCCUUGCCUGGUGGCUCAGACCUGUAAUGCCAGCACAUUGGGAGGCUGACACCGGAGAAUCACCUGAGCCAGGAGAUUGAGCCCAGCCUGGGCAAUAUAGUGAGACUCCAUCUCUACAAAAUAAUAAAAUAAAUUACUAGCAAGGC